CCGAUGGUGGCUUUAAAGUUUAAAGGGAGCAGCCCUGCUGUGUGGUUCUGCGCUGGGAAGCUGAGCCCACCACACCUCUCUCUCCGACUACGGGCUAGACUCCCUCCCGCGCCCCGCGCCACCCGGAGACCACACUCGGCCACCGCUGAAACAGGAGGCGGCGUUAAUUUUGAAAACGAUCCAUGCUGUAAUGUCAUGAACCAGGAAGCUGGACUCCUUCACCAGCUCUUUAUGCAAAUAUUUGACUGCAGCUUGAGCUGAAGGACUUGGAAGGAGUGGGUUUUUAAAAAUCUGCUUCAUUGUAGAGCUCUCCUUAACCCCUUUCCUCCCCGGGAAUGGGAACGGUCUGUUUGUCCGCCUGCCCACAUUACUGCCCUCAGCGACCAGCAGCCAAACCCGCCUGGAAGGGGCCAGCGGCCAUAAACAUACCUCUCCACCAAGUGGGGUUUCUCUCCAGCUGCAUCGAAGCAGAAUUCUACCAUGUCCCCAAACCCCUUAAUGAAAGCUUCUAUUUUGUUGUGAA
Suricata suricatta (meerkat) is the source of this 523-nucleotide long non-coding RNA. RefSeq lists it as uncharacterized. The record is from RefSeq and is a predicted model, not a curated record. The transcript is spliced from 2 exons. NCBI's taxonomy places the organism in Eukaryota, Metazoa, Chordata, Mammalia, Carnivora, Herpestidae.